ACGAACGCUGGCGGCGUGCUUAACACAUGCAAGUCGAACGGGAUUUAGUAAACAGAAGCCUCGGUGGAAGAUUACUAAUGAGAGUGGCGAACGGGUGAGUAACGCGUGAGCAACCUGCCUAUGACAGUGGGAUAGCCUCGGGAAACCGGGAUUAAUACCGCAUAAAAUCGUAGAAACACAUGUUUUAACGGUCAAAGAUUUAUCGGUCAUAGAUGGGCUCGCGUCUGAUUAGCUAGUUGGUGAGAUAACAGCCCACCAAGGCGACGAUCAGUAGCCGGUCUGAGAGGAUGAACGGCCACAUUGGAACUGAGACACGGUCCAAACUCCUACGGGAGGCAGCAGUGGGGAAUAUUGCACAAUGGGGGAAACCCUGAUGCAGCGACGCCGCGUGAACGAAGAAGGUAUUCGUAUCGUAAAGUUCUGUCCUAUGGGAAGAUAAUGACAGUACCAUAGAAGAAAGCUCCGGCUAAAUACGUG
This 477-nucleotide ribosomal RNA is filed under the name uncultured bacterium. RNAcentral describes it as "partial 16S ribosomal RNA". It matches the Rfam family "Bacterial small subunit ribosomal RNA", at positions 29 to 507 of the family's 1533-position model. The record is from RNAcentral.